UUCGGAGGGUGCUAACGUUGUUCGGAAUCACUGGGCUUAAAGGGCACGUAGGCGGCCGGCUCAGUCAGAUGUGAAAUCCCUCGGCUCAACCGAGGAAUGGCGUCUGAUACUGGCCGGCUUGAGUGGAGGAGGGGAGAGCGGAACUUCUGGUGUAGCGGUGAAAUGCGUAGAUAUCAGAAGGAACGCCGGUGGCGAAAGCGGCUCUCUGGCCUCUUACUGACGCUGAGGUGCGAAAGCCAGGGGAGCGAACGGGAUUAGAUACCCGCGUA
RNAcentral lists this ribosomal RNA (269 nucleotides) under uncultured prokaryote. Its description in RNAcentral is "partial 16S ribosomal RNA". It matches the Rfam family "Bacterial small subunit ribosomal RNA", at positions 524 to 792 of the family's 1533-position model. The record is from RNAcentral.